GCCGGGGUAGCUCAGCUGGUAGAGCGCCCGGCUGUUAACCGGGCGGUCGAGGGUUCGAAUCCCUCCCCCGGCGCCA
Molecule: transfer RNA, 76 nt
Filed under: Caldococcus noboribetus
Lineage: Archaea; Thermoproteati; Thermoproteota; Thermoprotei; Desulfurococcales
Also listed under: 4 other names
Description: tRNA-Asn
Rfam family: tRNA
About the family: Transfer RNA (tRNA) molecules are approximately 80 nucleotides in length. Their secondary structure includes four short double-helical elements and three loops (D, anti-codon, and T loops). Further hydrogen bonds mediate the characteristic L-shaped molecular structure. tRNAs have two regions of fundamental functional importance: the anti-codon, which is responsible for specific mRNA codon recognition, and the 3' end, to which the tRNAs corresponding amino acid is attached (by aminoacyl-tRNA synthetases). tRNAs cope with the degeneracy of the genetic code in two manners: having more than one tRNA (with a specific anti-codon) for a particular amino acid; and 'wobble' base-pairing, i.e. permitting non-standard base-pairing at the 3rd anti-codon position.
Source: RNAcentral